RNAcentral lists this ribosomal RNA (340 nucleotides) under uncultured Sediminibacterium sp. Its description in RNAcentral is "bacterial SSU rRNA". It matches the Rfam family "Bacterial small subunit ribosomal RNA", at positions 409 to 746 of the family's 1533-position model. The record is from RNAcentral. Lineage: Bacteria; Pseudomonadati; Bacteroidota; Chitinophagia; Chitinophagales; Chitinophagaceae.
AUUAGGUCCUCUGGAUUGUAAACUUCUUUUAUAUGGGACGAAAAAAGGUCUUUCUAGACCCCUUGACGGUACCAUAUGAAUAAGCACCGGCUAACUCCGUGCCAGCAGCCGCGGUAAUACGGAGGGUGCAAGCGUUAUCCGGAUUCACUGGGUUUAAAGGGUGCGUAGGCGGGUAGGUAAGUCAGUGGUGAAAUCCUGGAGCUCAACUCCAGAACUGCCAUUGAUACUAUCUAUCUUGAAUAUUGUGGAGGUAAGCGGAAUAUGUCAUGUAGCGGUGAAAUGCUUAGAUAUGACAUAGAACACCCAUUGCGAAGGCAGCUUACUACGCAUAUAUUGACGC